RNAcentral lists this ribosomal RNA (492 nucleotides) under uncultured bacterium. Its description in RNAcentral is "partial 16S ribosomal RNA". It matches the Rfam family "Bacterial small subunit ribosomal RNA", at positions 31 to 507 of the family's 1533-position model. The record is from RNAcentral.
AGGGAACGCGGGCGGUAGGCCUAACACAUGCAAGUCGAACGGCAGCACAGUAAGAGCUUGCACUUACGGGUGGCGAGUGGCGGACGGGUGAGGAAUACAUCGGAAUCUACUUUUUCGUGGGGGAUAACGUAGGGAAACUUACGCUAAUACCGCAUACGACCUACGGGUGAAAGCAGGGGAUCUUCGGACCUUGCGCGAUUGAAUGAGCCGAUGUCGGAUUAGCUAGUUGGCGGGGUAAAGGCCCACCAAGGCGACGAUCCGUAGCUGGUCUGAGAGGAUGAUCAGCCACACUGGAACUGAGACACGGUCCAGACUCCUACGGGAGGCAGCAGUGGGGAAUAUUGGACAAUGGGCGCAAGCCUGAUCCAGCCAUACCGCGUGGGUGAAGAAGGCCUUCGGGUUGUAAAGCCCUUUUGUUGGGAAAGAAAAGCAGCAGGUUAACACCCCGCUGUUCUGACGGUACCCAAAGAAUAAGCACCGGCUAACUUCGUA